GCGAGUCAGCGAGUAGGGUUGCCGAAAUGUUUUCUUUACCUUUUUUAUAAUAAAUAUGUCUUCCCUUAUUUAAAAACAGAAUCUAGUCGUUGAGGUUUUAUUUCCUUUUGAGAUGAAUAAAAAAAUUAAAUUACAUUGUUUUUUAACAGAGCCAUUUGUAAUGCAACUACUCAGCACCGCAAUGGAGGCAAUGUGGCAGCUGUGGCGAUGGCGGCAACAAGAGGAGCCGGAUUAACGGGAAUCAUGGCGGAGCAGACCAUAAACCUAGACACCAGCGACGGAGGGCAGCCCUCCGAAGCUCCCAACGAGCUCCAGGGAGAGGCCAGCUAGCCUUCAAAGGAUUUGCACCAGAGAGAAACUGUACAGCUGCGAUGAAUGUGGAUCACUAUCUACUCAAUCAGGCUCCUUGAGUCGCCAUCAGCAAAUCCAUAGGAAAGGUCUUCCAGCUGUGACCAGUGUGGGUCUGUGUUUACUCAGUCAGGUAGCCUAAAGACACAUAUGUGUAUUCACAGUGGAGAAGAACCAUACAGCUCUAACCAAUGUGGGAAACGUUUAACUGUGCCAAAAACCUUUAGAGUAGAAAUGCGAAUAAAGAGCUUACUGGAGAGAAACUCGACAUGUGUCGUGAAUAUAGAACCGCUUUGAUGCUUUUAUGUUCCCUUAGAUGACCUCAGUCAUCCUAGAAAACCUUUACUCAGAAAGGUACUCUGGUGUGCCACAUGUUAGUUCAGGCUGGAAACAGACCACACUGGGGGAAAGAAUGCAAAACACUUUCAGGAAAAGGUUGAAUUUAGUGCUCUGUGAAAACCUUCACGGCAGGGAAUAAACUGACAGAUGGUGCUGCAGCUGACCGAGACACUGAAGUCCAGACUUUAGUGUAGACCUUUAGAGUUAAAAAUGUAUUGUGCAUGUAGUCUAUACUUGUUAGAAAGGCUGUUGGGAAGUACCCAUUGACAUCUGUGGUAUUGAAACUGAGCAGAUGAAAUCAAUCAGACGUGUGGAGCAAAUGUUUUGUUCUAAACCU
Molecule: long non-coding RNA, 1024 nt
Organism: Maylandia zebra (zebra mbuna)
Lineage: Eukaryota; Metazoa; Chordata; Actinopteri; Cichliformes; Cichlidae
Source: RefSeq, a predicted model, not a curated record